Molecule: ribosomal RNA, 1503 nt
Filed under: Triticum aestivum (bread wheat)
Lineage: Eukaryota; Viridiplantae; Streptophyta; Magnoliopsida; Poales; Poaceae
Description: partial small subunit ribosomal RNA
Source: RNAcentral
AUGGAUGCAAGCCAUCCCUAUGUGCUCUUCCUUGCACUUCUAGUCAUCAUCCCACUGGCAUACUUCACCCUUUCAGCUCGCCGGCAAGUCGGCCCGAGGCUGCCGCCGGGGCCAUGGGCACUCCCGAUAAUCGGCCACUUGCACCACAUGAUUGGCAAACUUCCGCACCACAGGUUGUGUGAUCUUGCCCAGCGCCACGGCCCGCUGAUGCUGCUCCGGCUCGGCGGCCUGCCCCUAGUGGUGGCAUCGUCGGCGGAGGCGGCCCAUGAGGUCUUGAGGACGCACGACAUCGUCUUCGCCACACGCCCCAUCAGCAGGACUAUGAAGCUGAUCAUUGUUGAUGGCUCGGAGGGCCUCAUCUUCGCCCCCUAUGGCAGCGCUUGGAGGCAGCUCCGCAAGAUUUGCACCAUCGAGCUGCUCAGCGCACGCCGCGUCCAGUCCUUCAGAGGCAUCCGCGAGCAGGAGGUCCAGCACCUCCUUCAGGCCGUGGCAUCGACGCCAUCGCUGUUGGCCGUGAACCUCGGCACACUAUUGUCAUCGUAUGUGAAUGACUCCACGGUACGUGCCAUGAUAGGAAGUCGGUUCAAGGACCGGGAGACGUUCCUCCGGUUAAUGGAGGAAGGUAUCGAGCUAUUCUCGAGGCCGGGCUUGCCGGACCUCUACCCAUCAUCCCGGUUAGCGAUGCUCGUUAGCCGGAUGCCACGCCGGAUGAAGCGGCAGAGUCAGGCAAUGAUGGCUUUCAUGGAAACCAUCAUCCAGGAGCAUCGAGUGCCCAGAGCCGCAUGUGACAAGGAGGAGGACUUGGUUGACGUCCUCUUGAGAAUCCAGAACCAAGAUGACCACUUGGAGUUCGCGCUCACCACAGACAACAUCAAAGCAGUGAUGGCGGAUAUGUUCAUUGCAGGUAGCGAGACAUCAGCAACGAUGUUGGAAUGGUCCAUGGCCGAGCUCAUGAAGAACCCUAGGGUGAUGCAAAAGGUGCAGGAAGAAGUCCGGCGAGUGCUCAAGGGACAAGCAACAGUAACAGAGGAGAGCUUGAGAAGUUUAAAUUACCUGCACCUUGUCAUCAAAGAGACUCUUCGGCUGCACCCACCGGUGCCACUCCUGCUACCAAGGGAGUGCCGCGCACCAUGCCAAAUACUAGGAUAUGACCUGCCAGUGGGGGCUACGGUGCUUGUGAAUGUCUGGGCCAUCAGCAGAGAUUCGAUACAUUGGGAAAGGCCAGAGGAGUUCAUGCCUGAGAGGUUUGAGGUCAACAACAUUGACUUCAAGGGGGCAGACUUUGAGUACACACCAUUUGGAGCAGGACGGAGGAUGUGCCCUGGGAUGACCUUUGGGCUGGCAAACAUGGAACUUGCGCUUGCUAGCCUUCUAUACCACUUUGACUGGGAGUUGCCACACGGGAUCGCCCCGGCGGACGUUGAUAUGACAGAGGCCCUGAGAGCCGUCUCGAAGCGGAAAGACGGUCUUCUGGUUGUCCCGGUUGUUAGCGUACCAAUAUGA